UAGAAUAGGUGUCUCAAUGGUGGUCAGCUCAUCCCCGGUUAGAAAGGGGGUGGUGCUGUAUGACGGUUUUUGAAGCUUGGAUGUUUGCUUGUGCUUUUGCGAGCUUGAUCCUUGCUGUACUGUCAUUUAAUAAGAACCACAAAAAAUAAUCCACCCUUGAGCUAGACGGCUAGUGGUGGAUUAUCUUCCCUAUUACGCUGAUCCCCCUUGAAGGGAACCUCUACCUGAGAGACGUUUGGUGCUCCAACACUAAAC
This 255-nucleotide small RNA is filed under the name Bacillus sp. CECT 9360. RNAcentral describes it as "BsrG". It matches the Rfam family "BsrG". Rfam says of the family: bsrE, bsrG and bsrH pair through intermolecular interactions with antisense sRNAs. The record is from RNAcentral. Lineage: Bacteria; Bacillati; Bacillota; Bacilli; Caryophanales; Bacillaceae.